This 2577-nucleotide ribosomal RNA is filed under the name Triticum aestivum (bread wheat). RNAcentral's name for it is "partial small subunit ribosomal RNA". Lineage: Eukaryota; Viridiplantae; Streptophyta; Magnoliopsida; Poales; Poaceae. The record is from RNAcentral.
AUGACGGCGGCGGCGGCGGGGAGCAGCAGUAGCAGGCCAAGGCGCCAAGCAGCAGCGAGCCCCGACAUCUCCGCCACCGCGCAGCACAACGCCGAGCUCGCCGAGCUCCAUUGCGUCCUCUCCUCCCGCCGGAUUCGCCGCUCACGGCCACCAUCGCUCACCCGCGACCUUGCCCGUGUAGCAGAGGCGAGGAGCGGGGACGAGCCUCCUCCCAUUUACUCUCUCUGUGUGUGUUCAUCCGCUCGAGAACUGGAUCCCGAGGGACAGAGGUGCAACCCUGCUGAGCCGCUUGAUCCCAAAAUUAAAGGUAAUUUAAGAUGUGAUUGGCCUGGCAGCAGCUCGGGCCUGCUGAAGAAUGAAGACGCAACAACAGGGGGAGGGAGAUUGGAAUGCUUCAGGAUCCUGAAAUAUGAUGUUAAACCUGAGCAUUUAUCCAAACAAGUUCUCAGUUACAUGGAAGUGGUUAUUUCCAGUCCUUUGUGGUUAUCAUUGGUGUUUCCUGGUUCAGAGCACCUCCAUGACGGCACCCAACAGUCUCGGAGCCAAGGUGAUAAGAGCAGGGAUGGACUCAUUAGCAUCAGCCAUGUGAAGAUGAUUGGAAAGUCUACUGGAGUAAUCCUUCUUCAUGGUAUACGAUAUUCUGCUGUCUUGUUACUACUGUCAUGGUCAUGGCUCAAGCUGCCGCCCUCUCCCCUGCACUUUGGGGAAAACAGAGAGAGCAACUUUGCCCUGACUUCCAGCUCCUCAUGUGAGGAGGAGGAGGGCAGACAGGGGAUGUGCCGCUGUAGGAGGUGGUGCAGGGCCGGGGGACCUCAUACUCGGCUCCCUCAUCCCCUGCGCGCCUCUUCUACUUCCUCCAGCUCUACAUCAAGCGCAACCGCCUGCCCCCAGGGUCCCCCAUGGCCGCAGCCGCUCCCUCUCGCGGGCCUCUCCCCGCGCGCGCUCCUGCCCCUCUCCGCCCGCGACGCCGUCGUCCGCGCCUGCGACGAGGACUCCCUCUACUACGCCGGCCUCCGCCGCUGCGCCGAUGACCCCUACCACCCUGCCUCCAACCCCGCCGGCGUCAUCCCGCUAGGCCUCACCGAGAACACGGAAUGGAUGGAGGAGCACCAGGAGAGGGACCUCACCAUCAGCGGCUCACCACGUACCAGCCAUAUGACAGGAUACUUGCCUCGAAGAUGGCAUGAUUAUUGUGUGCACUUCUUACUGAAGAUGAUCCUGACAAUAGGCUAUUUACUAGAGCAGUUCAAGCAAGAAUACUUCCAGAAUCCAUCUUGUGAUCUGUUGUCACUAUGGCUGAGCAGGCAUCAAGUCAAGCAAAGGGGAUUUUAUGGUUGCAGCCGAGACCAGUGCUUAGAAGAAAUUGACAGGACAGAUGAAGUAUCCAUAUAUGAGAUAAAACCAGUGACAAUCCAUCUAAUACCAUGGGUCCACAUGAUGAGAAGGAUAUUUGCAUACCAGGGAAAGCAUCACAUAAGAGCCAUGUUUCCUCCAUGCUUCUACAUGAUAAUUAGGAUGCAGGCAACUGGCAAUCUGUACCGUGAAAUUCAAGGAACAAUCAAUGGGACGAAAGUUACUCUGUCUGCACCAUGUCAGGAGGGUGCUUUUGGAUGUCGACUUCAUUUAUUUCAUAUUUGUCUCCAUGGUCUUUUUCUGAAAACACCCCCGGCGAAUUCCCGACAAACCCGCAGCUCCCCGUCGUCUCCCCCGCCCCUCUGUCGUGCUCCCUCGCGCCUCGGCAGCUCGGCUCCUCCGCAGCCCCCCGCAGGUCCCCGCGUCGCCGGAGCUCUCCUGCCCCAAGCCUCCCCCACCCCACGCCUCCCCCGCAGCUUCCCUCUCCUUGUUCCCCUCCUCUUUCCCCGUGGUGAUCCACGGCGAGGAGAAGGCUCGAUUUUUCUUCGAUCUACUCGGCGGCGGCCAUUUCCAAGUCCUCCUCCUCGGCGCUGCGGCGGCGGGGCCGAGCAGAAGAAGUGGAUGCGCGAGUAUGCGGCAAAGGAGGUCACCUUCGGCAUUGGCGCGCACGUCGGCAUGCUGUGGUGCGUUAACGAACUCGCGAACGCCGUCAAGGUCACCAUGUGCGGUGCGAAGGGAGGGGCCGCGGCGGCGGCGCCGUGGUGGAGGCUUCCCGUGGAGGUGCUGCUACUGUGGGCGACGCGCGCAGCGAGGAGCGCGUGGUCGGUGCCCGUCGCCAUCGCGCUGCUCGGGAUCGCCGUGCGGGGCCGCCGGAUGCGGAGGCAGAGCAAGGCCGUGGCGCGCUUGCGGCUUGUCCUUGACGAUAAGUUUGCAAAGAAUUGCAUUGAACCUCUCUGCAAAUUCCUGAACUUGACGAACCAGCUCAACAAGCUGCUAUUUUUAGCAUUCCCCUUCCUUUUUUGUGCCUGCAGGACUAUAUCAUUAGUGCCUGCAGUACCAAAUGUGAUGUUUGAUAUUUGCAACUUGGUCAUAACUCUGAUUAUCCAAACCAACAUCAACAUUUACUCAUCUGCUAACUUAUGCUUCCUCAAUGGUGGGCAGUUAACUCCUUACAAUAAUUUGGAAUUUGACCACAAGGAGCAGUCAACAAGAAUGUUCCAAUGA